CUAACGCGGUCAUAGUGGCGGACGGGUGAGUAACACGUGGGAACGUACCUUUAGGUUCGGAACAACACAGGGAAACUUGUGCUAAUACCGAAUGUGCCCUUCGGGGGAAAGAUUUAUCGCCUUUAGAGCGGCCCGCGUUAGAUUAGCUAGUUGGUGAGGUAAAGGCUCACCAAGGCUACGAUCUAUAGCUGGUCUGAGAGGAUGAUCAGCCACAUUGGGACUGAGACACGGCCCAAACUCCUACGGGAGGCAGCAGUGGGGAAUCUUGCGCAAUGGUCGAAAGACUGACGCAGCCAUGCCGCGUGAAUGAUGAAGGUCUUAGGAUUGUAAAAUUCUUUCAGCAGGGACGAUAAUGACGGUACCUGCAGAAGAAGCCCCGGCUAACUUCGUGCCAGCAGCCGCGGUAAUACGAAGGGGGCUAGCGUUGCUCGGAAUUACUGGGCGUAAAGGGAGCGUAGGCGGGUUAUCAAGUUGGAGGUGAAAGCCCAGGGCUCAACCUUGGAAUUGCCUUCAAAACUGAUAGCCUAGAGUAUGAUAGAGGUAAGUGGAACUCCGAGUGUAGAGGUGAAAUUCGUAGAUAUUCGGAAGAACACCAGUGGCGAAGGCGACUUACUGGAUCAUGACUGACGCUGAGGCUCGAAAGCGUGGGGAGCAAACAGGAUUAGAUACCCUGGUAGUCCACGCUGUAAACGAUGAUUGCUAGUUGUCAGACGGCAUGCCGGUCGGUGACGCAGCUAACGCAUUAAGCAAUCCGCCUGG
This 759-nucleotide ribosomal RNA is filed under the name Asticcacaulis sp. Its description in RNAcentral is "bacterial SSU rRNA". It matches the Rfam family "Bacterial small subunit ribosomal RNA", at positions 81 to 876 of the family's 1533-position model. The record is from RNAcentral. Lineage: Bacteria; Pseudomonadati; Pseudomonadota; Alphaproteobacteria; Caulobacterales; Caulobacteraceae.